This 497-nucleotide ribosomal RNA is filed under the name bacterium SNB-CN99. Its description in RNAcentral is "bacterial SSU rRNA". It matches the Rfam family "Bacterial small subunit ribosomal RNA", at positions 55 to 530 of the family's 1533-position model. The record is from RNAcentral.
AUGCAAGUCGAGCGGACUAGAUGGAGUGCUUGCACUCCUGAUGGUUAGCGGCGGACGGGUGAGUAACACGUAGGUAACCUGCCCAUAAGACUGGGAUAACCCACGGAAACGUGAGCUAAUACCRGAUAGGCAUUUUCCUCGCAUGAGGGAGAUGAGAAAGGCGGAGCAAUCUGCCACUUAUGGAUGGACCUGCGGCGCAUUAGCUAGUUGGUAAGGUAACGGCUUACCAAGGCGACGAUGCGUAGCCGACCUGAGAGGGUGAUCGGCCACACUGGGACUGAGACACGGCCCAGACUCCUACGGGAGGCAGCAGUAGGGAAUCUUCCGCAAUGGACGAAAGUCUGACGGAGCAACGCCGCGUGAGUGAUGAAGGUUUUCGGAUCGUAAAGCUCUGUUGCCAGGGAAGAACGCCUAGGAGAGUAACUGCUCUUAGGGUGACGGUACCUGAGAAGAAAGCCCCGGCUAACUACGUGCCAGCAGCCGCGGGUAAUAMAAAA